UCAUGCCAAGAAUCAGGCAAAUAUCAAAUGAAGGAAGAAAAUCAACAGAUGAAAAAUGAAAUUUAACAGAUGCUGUCACUGAGACAGUGCAGAUGGACUGAUCUGAAACACCUAGUGCUUGGAAAUCAGAAGAUUCCUUUCUGUCCAACCUGAGCUUUAAGGGAAGAGAAAGAAGUCACCAAGAAGCAACAAUACUUGUUUUUGUACCUAGUCACCUCAUACUUUCAACCUUCAAAACGUCCUGCCCAAUGGAUUCCUGUCCCCCUUCCCUGGGCAUGUGGCAAGGGUGUCACUUUCCAUCAUGUGUUCAGUUUCAGGCUGCCAAGUUGCUCAAACAGAAGCACACUUGUUCUUAGUCUUGUCAAGCCCCGUGGUUCCUGAGUCUGUUCUGUUGUCCAAAAUUCUCCGGACAAUCAGCUGUUAUCCAAAGGGUUGGGUGAUCUUCCAAAGAGGAAGUUGGGGGUCAGAUCAGUCCCGCAUUAUACAAUGGUCUUCCAGUAGAUUCCAUAGGUAGGUUAAGUACAGCUACUUGAUUGCAGGCCUUGUUUACUCAUAUAUUGGUCAUUUUCUGCCAAAGAUGCCCUUGUCUACUAACAGGGAGAAAAGAUUUAAGAGGGAAAUGAGCAGUAAAGAAGGGAAUUAGGCUUUUUGGUCUAUUUUUUUUCUUUAUAUCUAUAUAUUGAUUUAUGUAGAGGUGAAUGACUUCAGUGAUUCUUCUGUCAUGUCAAAGGGCUUCAAGUUUUGCUGACAUGGGGGCAGCAGCAGGUUUUCAGUGCAUUUGCUUCUCUGACAUCAUCAGCUGGGUUUCAAGAAAAUCGAGAGUGGAGGACAUUUGUAGUAAUAUUUUAAAAAGCA
This 855-nucleotide long non-coding RNA is filed under the name Heterocephalus glaber (naked mole-rat). RNAcentral describes it as "lncRNA (ENSHGLG00100037686.1)". The record is from RNAcentral. Lineage: Eukaryota; Metazoa; Chordata; Mammalia; Rodentia; Bathyergidae.